This 497-nucleotide ribosomal RNA is filed under the name uncultured bacterium. RNAcentral describes it as "partial 16S ribosomal RNA". It matches the Rfam family "Bacterial small subunit ribosomal RNA", at positions 28 to 507 of the family's 1533-position model. The record is from RNAcentral.
GACGAACGCUGGCGGCGUGCCUAAUACAUGCUAGUUGAGCGAUGAAGAUUGGUGCUUGCACCAAUUUGAAGAGCAGCGAACGGGUGAGUAACGCGUGGGGAAUCUGCCUUUGAGCGGGGGACAACAUUUGGAAACGAAUGCUAAUACCGCAUAAUAACUUUAAACAUAAGUUUUAAGUUUGAAAGAUGCAAUUGCAUCACUCAAAGAUGAUCCCGCGUUGUAUUAGCUAGUUGGUGAGGUAAAGGCUCACCAAGGCGAUGAUACAUAGCCGACCUGAGAGGGUGAUCGGCCACAUUGGGACUGAGACACGGCCCAAACUCCUACGGGAGGCAGCAGUAGGGAAUCUUCGGCAAUGGACGAAAGUCUGACCGAGCAACGCCGCGUGAGUGAAGAAGGGUUUCGGAUCGUAAAACUCGGUUGGUAGAGAAGAACGUUGGUGAGAGUGGAAAGCUCAUCAAGUGACGGUAACUACCCAGAAAGGGACGGCUAACUACGUG